GUGAAUACGUUCCCGGGCCUUGUACACACCGCCCGUCACACCACGAAAGCCGGGAACACCCGAAGCCGGUGGCCUAACCCGCGAGGGAGGGAGCCGUCGAAGGUGGGUUCGGUGAUUGGGGUGAAGUCGUAACAAGGUAGCCGUACCGGAAGGUGCGGCUGGAUCACCUCCUUU
This 174-nucleotide ribosomal RNA is filed under the name Deltaproteobacteria bacterium. RNAcentral describes it as "partial 16S ribosomal RNA". It matches the Rfam family "Bacterial small subunit ribosomal RNA", at positions 1362 to 1533 of the family's 1533-position model. The record is from RNAcentral. Lineage: Bacteria; Pseudomonadati; Myxococcota; Myxococcia.